Vidua macroura (Pin-tailed whydah) is the source of this 1664-nucleotide long non-coding RNA. RefSeq lists it as uncharacterized. NCBI's taxonomy places the organism in Eukaryota, Metazoa, Chordata, Aves, Passeriformes, Viduidae. The record is from RefSeq and is a predicted model, not a curated record. The transcript is spliced from 3 exons.
UGGCGCCGCUACUGGUUCUCCUCGGCCGCCGGGUCGCGGCAUGUGCACUCGUCCUGGUCGCAGUCAGCAGCGAAUGGGAUCACCUGGGGGAACAAUGGGACGGCUCAGCCCCUGCCCUGGGACACCCUUGUGCCCCCCCAGGUUCUCCACCCUGCCACGAAAGCCCCCUUCAUCCACGUGUGAACCUGUGGACCUAUCAAGUACUCCUGACUCUUCCAGAAAAACAUGAAGAUAACACAGCCUUGUCUUCUGCAGCUCUUAGAGGAACUCAACCAAGCUCUCAACUGCAAAGCUGACCUCCACACUGCCCAACAUAAAAGCUAAGGAAUGCAGGUUUUGCUCUGGUUGAGCACACCUGAAGACCCAGCACCUUGCUUUUGGCCAUGCCCCAUUCCAGAUGCUUUGGAGGAAGGUGGAAAAAAGAAAAAAAAAAAAAAAUCAGCAUUCACAUGGCCAACUGUGUAACUGAGGAGCUGAAAGACUCCCCCGAUCUGCCACUGAGAUGGAAAGUGCUUGUCAUUUCUAUCUGUACACAGCCAUUUGAAAGCUGGAUUCCAGACUCAGGGAGACAAGUCCAGCCUUAAGAAGCAAAAUGCUUUCUCCCAGACUGGUCCUGGGCUUUGUGACUCUGCUGAUCCAUCCAAGGAGGGUGCAUAGUUUGCUUUCAUGGAGCUUCUAAGUCAGCAUGAAUUUUGCUGUCCUUUCAUUUUUCCCUUUGGGAAUUGGUAUUCUGGGCAUCAAGCUCAGACAAUUUGCAUGCUAAUUCAACCACGUGGCUGAGAAGACCCAUGUGCUUUUGCCCUCCUGAGAUGUCACUUUGAAAGCAGCCCUAGAGAAACAGGGGUACCACCAUUUGGGCAGGGCCCAGCCCUGGAAAAGCUGCUGCUGCCCUCAGACUCAUGCCUUGUGCAUCAGCUUCACCACUGGUACUUCUGCUCCCGGGACAGAUGAGUCACUUAGUGGUGGGAAGAUGAGUUGAAAACCCAAUCCCUUUAGUGGCAGGGGGAUGUCAGCCCAAACCAGGCUUCACAGAACCAUGGGACAUGAACCUGAGUUGCCCCAGGGCUGGAGAGUGCUACAGCUGCAGGGGUCUUAGGCAUGCAAAAGAAGCUGUGUCCCAGGUGAAGGUGCUGCCCGUGGCAGGGAAGAACAGGCAGGAUGUGUGGGGAAAGGAAAGUAUGGGCAGGCUGCAGUAGCCCUUGGAGAGCCACAGGGCAGCUUCUCCCUGCCAGAUGUCUCCCCUUCCUCCCCACCUCAGUCACUAGCAAGAUCUUUCCAAAAGCUCUGGGAGGUCCCUGUGAGGACUUGAAGAGUGCCCAAAGCCUUGUUAAACAUCUGGUUCACUUAAAGCCCCAAUACAUCCACCACCCCAGCUUGGGUCCCUGAAAACUCCCCCUCCCAUCCCUGUCCCAAUCUCUCCAAUGUCCUUCCAAACCACUGUUCCCCUGCAGAAAACUGUCAGUCCUUAAAGCCAGAGGUGUGACAGGAGCUGGCUAAAGUGAUGCUACAGAACUGUGUCCCCAGGACGCAUCCCUCUCCUUACAUACAUUUGUGCUGGUGAGGCAGAGAGCCCGGUCAUUCUUGGCUCUCCCUGCUUGCCCAGGGAAGUUGACUGGGAAUGCAGACUGUGGGAGGAAAUGACAAUGUUCAUUGUUUGGAUUAAA